Molecule: long non-coding RNA, 2139 nt
Organism: Medicago truncatula (barrel medic)
Lineage: Eukaryota; Viridiplantae; Streptophyta; Magnoliopsida; Fabales; Fabaceae
Exons: 3
Source: RefSeq, a predicted model, not a curated record
UCAAAUCCUUUGCUUUCCCACUUCUCCCUCACAACCCAAUAAAUGUACAAUGACCAAUUAACUUACUGCUAAAAACGUGCCCCUUUUAUUGGUAACCGGGUGAUGGAGCAGAUCAAGGAAUAAACUGUUGAGAACAUCAGAAGUCCUCAAACAGAAUGAACGGCGUAAGUUUUAAUAUAGUCACAACAAUUUCUUUCUCCCUCAUAGAACUUCUCUUCUCUUCAUCAUCUCCUCUCCCAGUUUUUUUUUUUUUUUUUUUUUUUAUCUCUUUUCAUCUUCAUCUCCCUCAUAGAACAAUAGUUUACUCACACUCAUAGCCACCACUUCCAGCCACCACAUGAGGAUGAACCGUAAGAUUAUUUUCCUCUCUCAAAAUCAAAAUCUGGAAAUCAUUUGCAUCUCCAUAUGUUGGUUUCAACUCAUGCUUCAUUGGAUCUAAAUCCAAUCACUGAUUUUGAUAAGUUCGUGAGGUUUUCCAUAUGUUUGCAAUUCUGAUGCAAAUUUUUAAAUUUUGGCUCACACAUAAACUAUCAUCUAAUAGUGGAAUGUGACGUUGAAGCCCUAUUUGUGUUGAAUUGCUUGAAAGAUCCUGCUUAUAUGUAGCUCUUAAGGCUUAAGUGGCGUACCUAUCAUGUCGAGUACAGUCGAGAUGAGGUUUGUGCGAUAAGAACUGCAUCUUUUUGUGUUUUGUUUGACACAAGAUGUGUUUUCUGUUGAUUCUAUAAUAUUCAGAUUUUAUGUCGAACAUGUUAUAUGUGAUGUUGUGCAAGGUUUGUAAAAGCAACAAGAUUAUCAAUUGAAAUGAUAGGAUUUUUGCUAGAGGAUAAUAGUUGUAAAACAAAAUUGACAAUUGUUAUUUGAGUUAGUAUCUUAAUUCAUAUUCGAGUAUAGAAUUAGUUUUAUCAACAUUCAAAUCAGUUUUAGAAAAAAAAUAUUGCAACUCAUGCCUCUAUAUGUACCUUAAUGACGUUUCUGUUUAAAAAAUUAAACAAGUUUUGUUUGUAUUCAACUUAAAAAAUAUGGGGUAUUUGUUUUCUGAACUGCCAUUUUUAUAUGGAGGAGUGCUAGCAACACUCUCUAGAACACUCCCUCUAAUACUCACUCUCUUAUUGGUUUAAAUCUUUGUGGGUCUACACAUUGGAAAUAGAACGCACACAAAGUGGUGGGACAUACAUUUUUUUCAUUCAAUAGAAAAGUGAGUGUUAGAGAGAGUGUUCAAAAGUGAGUUUUGUUAGCAUUCCUCUUUUAUAUUAACAUAAAUAUAUGCCCAUUUUGUUCCAUUUGUAUGCAUAUAAGAUCUAUUUUUUGGCAGUUGUUACAAUGAUACGUGUAAUUAAUUUUAUUAUCAGACUAGCACAUUUGUACUGCUCAAUGCACUUAGCCAAAAAAUACAUAGAGCCACCAUGAAUGAGCAUAAACCAACUGAUGUAAACCUUAACUGAUGGUUCCAUAGCACAUCAGAAUUGCAACUACUAAUUUGAAUUCUUUGUUUGAUUGUAUUCUUUGCAACUACUAUAGUUAUUUGUGUUAACUAUAGUUUAUUCAAAUCAGUUUGUUCUAACCAUUUAUAUCGUUCAAAGUUUGUUCUAACUAUUGAAGGAGUUGAUUCCGAUAACAAGGACAAAGUUGGUGUAGCCGAUUCAGAUGUAACACCGAUUAGCAAGUCUUUGGAUGACAUUGAUGUAGGUGGGUUGUGAAGCAUUGAGCACAAAAGAACCAAAAUUGGUGUCUGCUUCAAAGGUAGAUGCAGUUGCUCCAGUUGUGACUUCGAACACUCCAAACUCCUUGGGAAAGAGAGCAGCUGAGAAUGUGGUUUCAGUUGUUGAUGUCGCUGAAUUUGAUGGAUCCACACCAAAAGAGCCAAAACUGGUUCGGUGUGAAGAUCGAAGCUGAGGAGUGAAGUCUUUUGCAAAAUUUUCAACUACCAGUAGUGUUGCUGAUGUCCAAGUCUGUUGUCCUUUCAUUCUGUUUUGUUUUGGUUUUUAAUUGUCGCGUUGAAAUCUUCGGUUGCAUUUUGUUGCCAUACUUAUUUCGUUUUUAUGUUUGACAUUCUGGAAUGUUUUUUUGGUUUGCGUCAAUGGCUUUUUUACUUUAACUGAAGACUUGAAUUAUCUAACGUGUUCUGAAAGUAGUAUGAUC